RNAcentral lists this ribosomal RNA (235 nucleotides) under uncultured Eubacteriales bacterium. RNAcentral describes it as "uncultured Clostridiales bacterium partial 16S ribosomal RNA". It matches the Rfam family "Bacterial small subunit ribosomal RNA", at positions 99 to 334 of the family's 1533-position model. Lineage: Bacteria; Bacillati; Bacillota; Clostridia; Eubacteriales. The record is from RNAcentral.
CGAACGGGUGAGUAACGCGUGAGCAACCUGCCUAUGACAGUGGGAUAGCCUCGGGAAACCGGGAUUAAUACCGCAUAAAAUCGUAGAAACACAUGUUUUAACGGUCAAAGAUUUAUCGGUCAUAGAUGGGCUCGCGUCCGAUUAGCUAGUUGGUGAGAUAACAGCCCACCAAGGCGACGAUCAGUAGCCGGUCUGAGAGGAUGAACGGCCACAUUGGAACUGAGACACGGUCCAA